This 1502-nucleotide long non-coding RNA is filed under the name Nicotiana benthamiana. Its description in RNAcentral is "long non-coding RNA (NBEN_LNC011924)". The record is from RNAcentral. Lineage: Eukaryota; Viridiplantae; Streptophyta; Magnoliopsida; Solanales; Solanaceae.
GAUGCCCUCUUUGUGCCUAUAAAAGGGCAUCAUUGAUGCCUUGAAACAAGAGUUUGGGGGGCAGCUAUAAAAUUUCCCCAAAAAUCCCUCUUCAGGCUUCAGAUUUUAGAACUAAAAUAUGAAAUUCAGUUCUUCGUUUCAGCCUCCAAAAAUUAGUUUAAUUUCAGUUCUUUGAAUUUCAUAUUUAAAACACCAGAUCUGAAGUUCUUUUUUCAUCUUAAAAAAUUUGAUUCACUGUUUCAUUAGCAUUUCUUCAAUCUAGUUUCAAAUUCUGUUUUGAAUGCCUUCAUUAUGUGUUUUAUACAUGUGUUAGUAGCAUCAAGAAGAUUUGAGUUUGUGUUGGUGAUUCUUGGUUUUUUAGUUGUAAAUGAAUUCAAGUGUGUUCGGGUAAUUGGUAUUGGAUUUGGCUUGGUUUGAGUAGAUUUCAAAAGUUCCUAGUGGAUUGAACUAGUUUCUGACUAUUCGAUUUCUGUUUUCUGUUCGUAGUCUGCUGCUGUUGACUGACCUUGCUUCCUCUUCAUUCCUCAACUUACAGGUACACUUAUGUACAUAUCUUGCAAUUGGAAUGAAAUGAAGAGUGCUUCCCGUUGACUGCUUCAUAGUUGAAUUAAUGUUGUAGUUUCAAUUGAUUUUAUAUGAGCUCUAUUGUAGCGUAAGCUUACAGAACUAGGACAUUGAUGGUUUUCUUGGAAAUUACUAUCGAGUUAUAGGGACUGUGAACUAGAACGUUGGUUUUGAUUUGUUUAAACCUGAACCUUAUAACUUUCAUUUGAACUUUUGGGCUGACUGUAACUAAAUAAGGAUAGAAACAUGUCAGAUUUUUAUAUUAUUGUUACUUCCAGCUUACUAUGCAAUUAAAAGUAAUCGAUUUCAAGCCAGAUUGCAAGGAGUUUCGUGAGUGAACACUGUUUGGUUCAUGUGAGUAAUAUGGUAUAAUAUUGACACCAUGUUUAAUUAGUUAUAAGAAUUUGGAACUAAAAAGGUUGAUAUAUUUCUAUUUUUUAAUCACGAAUCAAUCCAAUUAACUUGAUAUUGGAGGGUUCAAUGCAAUUUAAUAAGUACAACCACUGAGAUUCGAACCCAGUUUCUUGGUAUUCUGUACAUUCGGAUUCAGUGUUAGUUAGGCCAAAUAAUUGUCGUCAUCUGUUUGAUAUAUCAGAUCCCUAUGUAUGUAAAUUGGAAGGCCAAGUCCACCAUACACAUUUGGCAAUUGGACUUGGCGAAACGUUGCUGGAUUCGAUUCCACUGUCUCCCUACGCAGAUGGUUAGUUUUUGGAUUGAGAUAGAUUUCAGGCCCAGUUUCGAAGUCCUUUUGCCUGAUACGCUUGAAUGGGCUUUCUGCGGGUUUAUCGGCAAUUGAUCCAUUGAUUGUAAUUUGAUGUGUGUCUUUGAGUUAGGUAGUGGAUUUUAAAAUAAAAGGUUCGUCCUUUUGUUUGGACAUGUACAUUAACUUAAGGCCCAAAUUUUGAAUAUGAUUAAUGAGGACUUUCUUUUCAUUAUUA